Ficedula albicollis (Collared flycatcher) is the source of this 288-nucleotide long non-coding RNA. RefSeq lists it as uncharacterized. The transcript is spliced from 3 exons. The record is from RefSeq and is a predicted model, not a curated record. NCBI's taxonomy places the organism in Eukaryota, Metazoa, Chordata, Aves, Passeriformes, Muscicapidae.
UCGCUCUCAGCGGAGGACUGGAGCGUGAGGGGGCUCGUGGGUGCUCUUAUUGGUGAUAAGAUGAUGUAGUUCUGCCACUGAGAUCUGUGGCACUUUAACCUGGGCAAUCAUUGCUGCUGAGUCUAAGAAGCAGGUGCUGAAUCAAGUGUAGAAGUGCAUCAGCCGUGGGGCAGACACUGUGACAUCACUACAGAAAAUAUUAGUCUGUGACUUGGUGUUGGAGGCCCAACUCCAGUGACAAAACCAAACCAAAACAGUGCCAACCUGAAGAUUGGUGUGUGGAGCCAC